Molecule: long non-coding RNA, 1463 nt
Filed under: Felis catus (domestic cat)
Lineage: Eukaryota; Metazoa; Chordata; Mammalia; Carnivora; Felidae
Description: lncRNA (ENSFCAG00000047540.1)
Source: RNAcentral
GUUUCUGGGGCUCGGCGCCCCGCCGGGCGCACAGCGCAGGGCGCAGCGGCACGGUGGGUGGGGCGGCGCGGUCCUGCCGGGGGCGCCGGCCCCGGCGGGGUGCAGCUCUGCGCGCUCUCACGCUCUCUUUCUCUCUUUCCCUCCGCGCUGCCUCCCCGAGAUCCUCCCGCCGAGCCCCUGCGCGGGGCAUGAGGAGCCCCGGGGCGCCGCCCGGAGACGACCCGGCUGCGCGCACACCUCGCCAGCGGCGGACGGGGACAUGAGCGGCGCGCGCGGGGUCCGGCGCCCGGCGGCCAGCCCCAGCCGGCGGCGGCCAGCGGGUCAGCGCUGCCCGGGAGAAUGAGGCAGGAGCCCGCGGCAGCCUCCUCCUUCUUCUCCUCUUCCUCCUCCUCCUCCUCCUCUUCGCCUUCCUUCGGCUCCGGCGCCUCGGGCCCGGGCCGGGCUGUGGCUCUGCUGCGUGCCCCGCGCGCCCCCCGCCCGCCUCCGGAUGCGCUGCUCGAUUCCUGCUCUGUGUACGCUGACCAGGCCUUUACGGAGAGUCCCCGCAGGCGGGAGGAUGACGGUACACAAGGUGUUCCUUGCCUUCAGCUGACCCCGAGACCGUCGGGAACCGUGUCGUGUAACCACCUGUAGCUCGUUAGAGUGGUCGGCGCGCCUGAGCAGAGGUUAGCCUGGGGCGGAAGAUAAAGACAUUUGCCACCAAGAUGGUAAUCACGAGUGGAAAUGAUGAGGACAGAGGAGGCCAGGAGAGAGAGAGUAAGGAAGAGAGCGUCUUGGCGAUGCUGGGGAUCAUCGGGACCAUUCUGAACCUGAUUGUUAUCAUAUUUGUAUACAUAUACACCACUCUGUGAAUGGCUCAGAGGGUGCUGAGGGGCCUCGGGGAUGGCCGAGUGACGGGAGUCCUGUGUGUCGGCAGGUGACUGAUUGGACGCUGCCGUGCAAGCGAGCAGGCCUGACCUACACACGCUGCUCAAGCAAAUGCACCUUCGAACUGUAGAAGAGGUCACAAAAACAAACCACUCCUGCUACGAAGAGCAGACACUAAAGCACAAUGAACCCAACAAAACUCAUUCACACGACAAGGAACUCAACGUCUUUGGCCCGGGGCCCGAAAGAACACUCAGAAGACCAGCCUUUGACGCCAUGGGUGAGCGGAUGGGUGCAGAAACUCCUCAUCCCGGGUCUCUGAUGGAUUUCACGCAUUGGAAAGGAGGAACAGGGAGGGCGAGGCUCGUCGGUGCGUCUCCUGGGACACGGGCUUCACCUUAACUCGACGACGAGCCGUUCGGGACGAGAAACCACAGGGGCAACCCUCUGACAGAAUCCCAUCCAUCAAAAGUGGCUAACUAUUUGAUACUGGGGAGAUAACUUAUUUUUCUUUUUUCAUUGGCUUGACGUGUGUAUCUGUUCAUAUCAACGUUUAUAAAUAUAUAUUUUUAAUAAAUGUGCUCUAUUUUUUAGCA